This 949-nucleotide ribosomal RNA is filed under the name Acidobacteriota bacterium. Its description in RNAcentral is "partial 23S ribosomal RNA". It matches the Rfam family "Bacterial large subunit ribosomal RNA", at positions 1 to 997 of the family's 2925-position model. Lineage: Bacteria; Pseudomonadati; Acidobacteriota. The record is from RNAcentral.
GGUCAAGUGAAUAAGAGCAUGUGGUGGAUGCCUUGGCGAUGAUAGGCGACGAAGGACGUGAUAGCCUGCGAUAAGCUUCGGGGAGCUGGCAAAUAAGCUUUGAUCCGGAGAUUUCCGAAUGGGGAAACCCACCUCGCAAGAGGUAUCGCAUGAUGAAUACAUAGUCAUGCGAGGCGAACCGGGUGAACUGAAACAUCUCAGUAGCUCGAGGAAAAGACAUCAACCGAGAUUCCGAAAGUAGUGGCGAGCGAAAUCGGAAGAGCCUGCAAGUGAUAGCACAAGACUUAACGGAACAGCUUGGAAAGGCUGGCCAUAGCGGGUGAUAGCCCCGUACGUGAAAAGACCUGUGUGGUACUGAGCUUGCGACAAGUAGGGCGGGACACGAGAAAUCCUGUCUGAAUAUGGGGGGACCAUCCUCCAAGGCUAAAUACUCGUAAUCGACCGAUAGUGAACUAGUACCGUGAGGGAAAGGCGAAAAGAACCCCGGGAGGGGAGUGAAAUAGAUCCUGAAACCGCAUGCAUACAAACAGUCGGAGCCUGGAAACGGGUGACGGCGUACCUUUUGUAUAAUGGGUCAGCGACUUACAUUCAGUGGCAAGGUUAACCGAAUAGGGAAGCCGUAGAGAAAUCGAGUCCGAAUAGGGCGUUCAGUCGCUGGGUGUAGACCCGAAACCAAGUGAUCUAUCCAUGGCCAGGAUGAAGGUGAGGUAACACUUACUGGAGGUCCGAACCGACUAGUGUUGCAAAACUAGCGGAUGAGCUGUGGAUAGGGGUGAAAGGCUAAACAAACUUGGAAAUAGCUGGUUCUCUCCGAAAACUAUUUAGGUAGUGCCUCAAGUAUUACCGUCGGGGGUAGAGCACUGUUAUGGCUAGGGGGUCAUGGCGACUUACCAAACCAUUGCAAACUCCGAAUACCGAUGAGUACAGCUUGGGAGACAGUGCACCGGGU